RNAcentral lists this ribosomal RNA (253 nucleotides) under uncultured bacterium. Its description in RNAcentral is "partial 16S ribosomal RNA". It matches the Rfam family "Bacterial small subunit ribosomal RNA", at positions 524 to 776 of the family's 1533-position model. The record is from RNAcentral.
UACGUAGGGUGCAAGCGUUAAUCGGAAUUACUGGGCGUAAAGCGUGCGCAGGCGGUUAUGCAAGACCGAUGUGAAAUCCCCGGGCUUAACCUGGGAACUGCAUUUGUGACUGCAUAGCUGGAGUACGGUAGAGGGGGAUGGAAUUCCGCGUGUAGCAGUGAAAUGCGUAGAUAUGCGGAGGAACACCGAUGGCGAAGGCAGGCCCCUGGACCUGUACUGACGCUCAUGCACGAAAGCGUGGGGAGCAAACAGG